RNAcentral lists this ribosomal RNA (100 nucleotides) under uncultured bacterium. Its description in RNAcentral is "partial 16S ribosomal RNA". The record is from RNAcentral.
CCGCGUGAGUGAUAGAAGGCCGUUCGGGUUGUUAAAGACUCUUUUGGUCGGGGACGGAUGAUGACGGUACCCGCAGAAUAAGCCCCGGCUAACUUCGUGC